Molecule: long non-coding RNA, 359 nt
Filed under: Olea europaea (common olive)
Lineage: Eukaryota; Viridiplantae; Streptophyta; Magnoliopsida; Lamiales; Oleaceae
Description: long non-coding RNA (OEUR_LNC003493)
Source: RNAcentral
AAUCGUAUGAAGGUUGUGAUUGAUCAAUAAAGGAUUCGUCACUCUUAGAUAGUAGGAGAUUAUGAUCUACGUUUCAUUCAAUUAAGUCGAUGAUGAAAUCCUUGGCCAAGGUGUACUCAUAAGUCGAAAAGGAGUUUUCGAUUUAUAUUGACUUAAUAGUGGAAUGAAAGAUAUGAUCGAUGAUCGAGAUUGACACAAUUCCAUAUCUCGUAAUUGAUCGGAUCGUAUUGACGAAGGGAUAAUAGUUCCACGGUGAACGAACGAAUUUGAUUUUGUCAUACCACGUGACAUUUCCCGUCACAUGUAUUGCCCUGACACAUUGCUAGAUGUCAAUCAGGGACGGCGAAUGUGAAUUGACG